CUUUUGCGUUAACGAUAGAAGCGAUAUCCUUUUGCUCUUGCCAAUUUGCAAAUAGCAAAAAAAGAUUUAGCGGAUAGCGUGUUAAAAC
RNAcentral lists this small RNA (88 nucleotides) under Pedobacter psychrophilus. Its description in RNAcentral is "Pedobacter sp. CCM 8644 Flavo-1 RNA". It matches the Rfam family "Flavo-1 RNA". Lineage: Bacteria; Pseudomonadati; Bacteroidota; Sphingobacteriia; Sphingobacteriales; Sphingobacteriaceae. The record is from Rfam by way of RNAcentral.